Molecule: unclassified non-coding RNA, 141 nt
Filed under: uncultured Ascomycota
Lineage: Eukaryota; Fungi; Ascomycota
Description: sequence contains ITS1
Source: RNAcentral
ACGAUUUCGUAGCUGGGCUUCGGCCCUGUCUGCACCCUUGUCUUUUGCGUACCAAUUGUUUCCUCGGCGGGCUUGCCUGCCGAUAGGACAUUGUAAAACCACUUGUAAUUGUAAUCAGCGUCAGUAAAACAAACAAUAUUA